RNAcentral lists this ribosomal RNA (406 nucleotides) under uncultured bacterium. Its description in RNAcentral is "partial 16S ribosomal RNA". It matches the Rfam family "Bacterial small subunit ribosomal RNA", at positions 29 to 526 of the family's 1533-position model. The record is from RNAcentral.
AGUGAACGCUGGCGGCAGGCAUAACACAUGCAAGUCGAAAGAGUGGCGGACGGGUGCGGAAUACAUGGGAAACUACUCUGUCGGGGGGGAUAAAUUAGGGAAACUUACGCUAAUACCGCAUACGAUUGAAUGAGCCGAGGUCGGAUUAGCUAGUGGGGGGGGUAAAGGCACACAAAGGCGACGAGCCGUAGCUGGUCUGAGAGGAUGAGCAGCCACACUGGAACGGAGACACGGUCCAGACUCCGACGGGAGGCAGCAGUGGGGAAUAUUGGACAAUGGGCGCAAGCCUGAUCCAGCCAUACCGCGUGGUUGAAGAAGGCCUUCGGGUUGUAAAGCACUUUUGUUGGGAAAGCGGUACCCAAAGAAUAAGCACCGGCUAACUUCGUGCCAGCAGCCGCGGUAAUAC